GCCCGUUCUUUCUCUGUAAUUUACCGCAAAAAAAUGUUAGAAGACGUCCAAAAAGCUCGACUCCGCCAUCCAUGGAAAUUCAAUAUGAGGCUGUAGUUUUCUUCCCGCCGUGGCAUCUCUCUACGCUCUCUUUCAGCACACAAGCGAAACAAGAUUUCCAACUCUGAUGGCUUGUUGGCUGAAAUCUCUGAGGAGAUUCAAAUUAAAUGAAGGACCUAUCUAUCUAAUUGAAGCUCCUCUAGAGAAAGAAAACGCAUAGAGCUGAACAGUGGUGGCAUCAUAAAGCAGUUCCAUGGACGAAGGUCCUGACUUUCUACGUGGUAACAUGUUCUGUCUUCGUAUUUUCUGUUUGUUUUUUUUUUUAAUUAAAAAAAAAACCACUGUGGGAGUCCAAAUUUACUUUGGUAUUUUCCCAUUCAAUGCACAAUUUUCAGUCACGUAUAACCUAAAGUAUUUCUUAAUAUUCUUGGACUUAGCCUACCAGAGUACAAAGGGAAUAAAAUCUUGGACCACCACCCUGAGAUGGGAGGACGGUGGCAUAAUGCCCAAUGGAAAUGAAUUUGUAUUGAGAAUAGUCAAAAACCAGCUCUAGCACCCUACAGCGAGCAUCACAACUUUUCUUUUGAAACAGCAUGUUAAAUUACAUGUAAUAAUGGGAAAAAAAUACCAUAAAAUGAAAAAUGAGUGGAGAACAAAUUACCCGAAUAAUGAAGAAAGAAGCCUAAGAGGGAGAACGGUGGGAAGGUUGCAAUCGAGUAUUUGGUUACGGUGAAGGGUAGGGAUUUGGGAAAAUUUUUUCCAGAAAAUCCAAAAUGAAAAAAAAAAAAUUGAAUAAUAACAAAAUAUAUCGGCUGACCAAAAGGUGUAAUUUGGGUCACUUUAUACAACUCAAUAGCCCAACCUGAUCUUUUAAACCAGUAUCGGACAGGAUACGGUUUUUCCAGCUUGUACAUUUGAGAUGGGCUGAACCUUGAGCAAUCUGAUUUCACACUAUCUAUAUUUGUAAAGAUAUCUCGAUCACAUCCAGAACUUCUCUUUCUAUCGUUUGUUCUAUAUUUGGAACAUAAAAUGGAUAUGAUUUUCCAUCUUCAAACUAUAGCAGUCUGUAUUAUUGUAUAUCUUAGAAGGGUGAAUUUUGCUUCUAGUUAGAAAUAAAUCAUGCAAAACUACUCCUGGAGGCAUUAGCUUAGGUAUAACAUGUAUGAAUCAUGAGAAAAAGUACAAGGGAAGACUUGAAAAUGUUCAAAGAACUAGCACUUUGGUACAUUAAAAUAUAUUCUAAUCAUUACUUUUACAAUUUAUAUGUGGUUAUUCAUAGAAGGAUGCACGAGAAAGGGUGUCUUUUUAGUAAUCAAGUAUGAAAAAAAAAAAAAUCUUCUAGAGAACACUAAAAAUAAAUUUUAUCCUUUUCAAACUUCAUCCGCAUUUUAACUAUCAUUUCCUAUAUCAUUUUUACAUUACGUAGUUUACGUGUUUUUAUUUUUGACAUAAGUUUACGUGUUUUUAUGAAUAAAUGUGUAGAAAUUAGAAAAAUAUUCAUGUAUUAAAUAGAGGCCAAAUAUUCCAAAAGACAUAUGAAGAUGUUGCAGAACAAAGUAUGAAUUAGCUCAUGAGUACUCAAAAACCAGUACAAACAUUGAUAGUAGGGCUUCUAUAUUAUAACUGCUGUCAGUCAUGAACUUAAUCCUUGCACUAAUGGCUGCCAUUUAUUUGGCACUUGUGCAAAAUAAAUAAUGAAUUAGUCAAUGAAUAAGCAAAUUCAGUAAAAAAAAACCAUUUAAGAGAUAAAACAAAUGGCAUAAACGAAAAUAAAAAGGACGUACAGGGAGAGGAAUAAUUUUUAGACAAUUUGUGUAGAAGAAAGAAAAUCUAGAAACAAAAUACCAUUGAAUUUUUAUUGUUUUUAAGAUCUAAAUAAUUCUUCAGUUGUCUGAUGCAUGUUUGACACGUCUUUAACAGGAUAUCCUUGGUGAUAUAAUGAGCACCACUACACAUGAUCAUUGCAGCAUAAAUACAGCAUAUACAAUACUACACCAGGAUAUACCAGCACUGUAGGUUAUUAAGAAUUGUUUUCUAUUCAUUAUGCAUAAGGUGUUGUUGUCUAGGUUAGCUCCUUUACAUGUCAACUAAUCCACCUAGCUGACUAUCUAUUUCCUAAGUAGGAAAUCUGAGGAAUUGUCUAAGAUUCUAACUGGAUGACUUUUGAGAAAGCAAAUCUCAUCUGCUUCCUUGAGCAAAAUGCAUAUGGUUAACAUAUGAAGCAAA
Carica papaya (papaya) is the source of this 2265-nucleotide non-coding RNA. The record is from RefSeq and is a predicted model, not a curated record. NCBI's taxonomy places the organism in Eukaryota, Viridiplantae, Streptophyta, Magnoliopsida, Brassicales, Caricaceae.